This 422-nucleotide ribosomal RNA is filed under the name uncultured bacterium. RNAcentral describes it as "bacterial SSU rRNA". It matches the Rfam family "Bacterial small subunit ribosomal RNA", at positions 358 to 772 of the family's 1533-position model. The record is from RNAcentral.
GGAAUAUUGGACAAUGGGGGCAACCCUGAUCCAGCAAUGCCGCGUGUGUGAAGAAGGCCUUCGGGUUGUAAAGCACUUUUAUCAGGAAAGAAAUCCGGUGGAUUAAUACUUUGCCGGGAUGACGGUACCUGAGGACUAAGCACCGGCUAACUUCGUGCCAGCAGCCGCGGUAAUACGAAGGGGGCAAGCGUUGAUCGGAAUUCCUGGGCGUAAAGGGUGCGUAGGCGUCCUGGUAAGUUCGAUGUGAAAGCCCCGGGCUCAACCUGGGAAUGGCAUCGAAGACUGGCAGGCUGGAGUGCGGUAGAGGGUGGUGGAAUUCCCGGUGUAGCGGUGAAAUGCGUAGAGAUCGGGAGGAACAUCUGUGGCGAAGGCGGCCACCUGGACCAGCACUGACGCUGAGGCACGAAAGCGUGGGGAGCAAA